CCUACGGGGGGCAGCAGUGGGGGAUAUUGCACAAUGGGGGGAACCCUGAUGCAGCGACGCCGCGUGGGUGAAGAAGCGCCUCGGCGCGUAAAGCCCUGUCAGCAGGGAAGAAAAUGACGGUACCUGAAGAAGAAGCCCCGGCUAACUACGUGCCAGCAGCCGCGGUAAUACGUAGGGGGCAAGCGUUAUCCGGAUUUACUGGGUGUAAAGGGGGCGCAGACGGCGAUGCAAGCCAGGAGUGAAAGCCCGGGGGCCAACCCCGGGACUGCUCUUGGAACUGCGUGGCUGGAGUGCAGGAGGGGCAGGCGGAAUUCCUGGUGUAGCGGUGAAAUGCGUAGAUAUCAGGAGGAACACCGGUGGCGAAGGCGGCCUGCUGGACUGCAACUGACGUUGAGGCCCGAAAGCGUGGGGAGCAAACAGGAUUAGAUACCCCUGUAGUC
RNAcentral lists this ribosomal RNA (440 nucleotides) under uncultured bacterium. RNAcentral's name for it is "partial 16S ribosomal RNA". It matches the Rfam family "Bacterial small subunit ribosomal RNA", at positions 338 to 795 of the family's 1533-position model. The record is from RNAcentral.